ACCUGGGUGGCUCAGUCGGUUGAGCGUCUGACUUCGGGCUCAGGUCACGAUCUCGCGGUCCAUGGGUUCGAGCCCCAUGCCGGGUU
RNAcentral lists this transfer RNA (86 nucleotides) under Felis catus (domestic cat). It matches the Rfam family "tRNA". Rfam says of the family: Transfer RNA (tRNA) molecules are approximately 80 nucleotides in length. Their secondary structure includes four short double-helical elements and three loops (D, anti-codon, and T loops). The record is from Rfam by way of RNAcentral. Lineage: Eukaryota; Metazoa; Chordata; Mammalia; Carnivora; Felidae.